UACAUAGGCAGCAAGCGUUGUUCGGAAUUACUGGGCGUAAAGAGUGUGUAGGCGGUGUUCCAAGUCUGGUGUGAAAUCUCCCGGCUUAACUGGGAGGGUGCAUUAGAAACUGGAAUGCUAGAGGAUGGGAGAGGUAAGCGGAAUUCCUGGUGUAGCGGUGAAAUGCGUAGAUAUCAGGAGGAACACCUGUGGUGUAGACAGCUUACUGGACCAUUUCUGACGCUGAGACACGAAAGCGUGGGUAGCAAACAGG
This 253-nucleotide ribosomal RNA is filed under the name uncultured bacterium. RNAcentral's name for it is "partial 16S ribosomal RNA". It matches the Rfam family "Bacterial small subunit ribosomal RNA", at positions 524 to 776 of the family's 1533-position model. The record is from RNAcentral.